Molecule: ribosomal RNA, 475 nt
Filed under: uncultured bacterium
Lineage: Bacteria
Description: bacterial SSU rRNA
Rfam family: Bacterial small subunit ribosomal RNA
Source: RNAcentral
GACGAACGCUGGCGGCGUGCCUAACACAUGCAAGUCGAGCGGGGUUGAAGCGAGGGGUAACUCGGACUUCUACCUAGCGGCGGACGGGUGAGUAACGCGUGGGCAACCUGCCUCAAGGUUUGGGAUAACAGCUCGAAAGGGCUGCUAAUACCGGAUAUGCCUGUGGCCUCGCAUGGGGCUAUGAGCAAAGGGGAAACCCGCCUUGAGAUGGGCCCGCGUCCCAUCAGCUAGUUGGUGAGGUGAAGGCUCACCAAGGCGACGACGGGUAGCCGGCCUGAGAGGGUGACCGGCCACACUGGGACUGAGACACGGCCCAGACUCCUACGGGGGGCAGCAGUGGGGGAUCUUGCACAAUGGGCGAAAGCCUGAUGCAGCGACGCCGCGUGAGCGAAGAAGGCCUUCGGGUUGUAAAGCUCUGUCUGGAGGGACGAAACAAAUGACGGUACCUCCGGAGGAAGCCACGGCUAACUACGUG